RNAcentral lists this ribosomal RNA (447 nucleotides) under uncultured Sphingobacteriales bacterium. RNAcentral describes it as "bacterial SSU rRNA". It matches the Rfam family "Bacterial small subunit ribosomal RNA", at positions 933 to 1382 of the family's 1533-position model. Lineage: Bacteria; Pseudomonadati; Bacteroidota; Sphingobacteriia; Sphingobacteriales. The record is from RNAcentral.
AGGAGCAUGUGGUUAAUUCGAUGAUACGCGAGGAACUUACCUGGGCUCGAACGUAAGAUGACUGUAGGUGAAAGCUUACAUCUCUUCGGAGCAUUUUACGAGGUGCUGCAUGGUUGUCGUCAGCUCGUGCCGUGAGGUGCCGGGUUAAGUCCCAUAACGAGCGCAACCCCUACCUUUAGUUGCCAUCAGGUUAAGCUGGGGACUCUAAAGGAACUGCCUACGCAAGUAGUGAGGAAGGCGGGGAUGACGUCAAAUCAGCACGGCCCUUACGUCCAGGGCUACACACGUGCUACAAUGGCCGAUACAGAGGGCAGCUACCUGGUGACAGGAUGCAAAUCUCCAAAGUCGGUCUCAGUUCGGAUCGGAGUCUGCAACCCGACUCCGUGAAGUUGGAUUCGCUAGUAAUCGCGCAUCAGCCAUGGCGCGGUGAAUACGUUCCCGGGCCUU